Molecule: non-coding RNA, 425 nt
Organism: Oryzias latipes (Japanese medaka)
Lineage: Eukaryota; Metazoa; Chordata; Actinopteri; Beloniformes; Adrianichthyidae
Source: RefSeq, a predicted model, not a curated record
CUGCUCGUAGCGAUGGCUGCCUUGCUUUGAAGAGCUGCAGCUUUCUGCGGAGGUGUGCCAUCGCCUCCACAGCUGGCAUCUACAGGGUGUGAGGAAAGAGACAUGAGCUGGAGUUUGCCUUAGGAGGACCGGCUGACGCAGACGGCUGCAGACUGACUCAGUGAUAAAUCCUUGUUUUCAGCACGCAUGAAUGCACAAAUUCACAAUCAACAUCCUGUGAUCAACAGCAAGGCGCCGAGAUGACCAGCUCGCUGAGGGUGACUUAUAGGACAAACAGAAAAUGACUUAACCCUGGAGAACCCAAUAACAAUUUUCUUUUUGCCUUUAAAAUUAAUUUGACAGGUUUUGUUCGUUCACUUUGGAAAUGGAAAAAAAGAUACAUAAAAAAAAUAUUUUGAAAAAUUAACAAUAAAAAAUGGACACAG